Molecule: long non-coding RNA, 2358 nt
Filed under: Gadus morhua (Atlantic cod)
Lineage: Eukaryota; Metazoa; Chordata; Actinopteri; Gadiformes; Gadidae
Description: lncRNA (ENSGMOG00000026297.1)
Source: RNAcentral
AUGUAUGUUGAUUGUUCAUAUCAAACCAACAUAUAUGGAAGUUUUCACACUCACAAAUGGAGAAAACACAAAGUGUGUACAGUUGGAGAUUUAAAACCUGGAAUAGUUCACAGGUCAAUCGUCAAUCCCUCUGCUUUAGAUUCAAGUAACAGUGACACUGAGUUGAAUGAAGAUUUACUAUUUGAUGAACCAACUUUUGAAGAACCUAGAGAUUUGACAAAAGAUGUUGAGCUAAAAUUAGCCUCAGUUUUACUGAAAUUAGAACAUAGUUACCUGGUGUCAAGUGCAGCUGUAAAUUUACUCCUUGAGGAACUGCAAUAUCUCAUUGGGACUGUUUCUGUGCCGGUCACCCAGAAGACUAUCACUCAGUUUUUAGGGGCUCACAAUUGUCAAGUAGAUGGAUCACUUGUCCAAGACUUAGCCACAGAAAUCUGCACAUCACAUCCUAUUCAACUCGCUAUCGGAACACAAGGCCCAUUGUCUACUGCAUGGAAGCGCAACAAAUAUUAUAUUACUAAGUUUAGUGUAGUGGAACCAGUAGAAUUUGUAAUUGACCAAAAGAACAGAAGGUCUUUUCAAUAUAUUCCUGUACUAAAAACGUUGCAGCAGGUUUUGAACUGUGAGACUAUCCUAAGCAGUGCAGUUAAUUUGAACGAGAAACUUCAAUCAGUGUUAAGUGAGAAGCAGGUUUACAGAUGUCUCUGGGAUGGUGCAAUUUUUAAAGAAAACACACUUUUCUCAAAUGAGUGUGCCGUUUCCUUAAUCCUCUAUAUAGAUGAUUUUGAGGUGUGCAACCCCCUUGGCACAUCGCGUAAAAAACAUAAAAUCUGUGCCAUAUAUUGGAUUUUAGGCAAUCUGCCACCUGGUUCUCAUUCUUCGUUGUCAUCAAUCUACUUGGCUGCAUUGAUUAAUAGUGAUGAUGUAAAGUUGUAUGGAUAUGACAUUGUUCUAGAACCUUUGAUUAGUGAUAUCCUUAUUUUGGAACAACAUGGAAUAUUUGUGCCCAAGUUAGGGAAAUGUGUAAAGGGAACAAUUCAAUGUGUUGUUGCUGACAACCUCGGUGCCCACGGUAUUGCUGGUUUUUUGGAGAGUUUUUCUGGUGCAUACAUUUGUAGGUUUUGUACAGCUACGAAAUUAGAAAUUCAAACAAGGGACGUAGGGAGUGAAGCAUUCUCUUUGAGGACAGAGGAGGGUCACGGAAGACAUCUUAAAACCCUUGAGGAAGAAUCAUUGGUCAAUUGUUUUGGUGUUAAGAGGAGGUGUGUUUUGUCGGAAAAACUUACUCAUUUUAAUGUCACUACUGGCUUUCCACCUGACAUUGUUCAUGAUUUAUUUGAAGGAAUUGUUCCAGUUGAAGUAGCUCUGUGUCUCUCUGUGCUCACCUCAAAGUACUUUACUUUGAACUUUUUGAAUGACUCUAUAAAAACUUUCCCCUUCAAGUGGACUGAUAAAGCAAAUUGCCCCCAUCCUGUGCCACUGACCUACAAAAUUAGGAGAACAGUUGGUGGCAAUUCUCACGAGAAUUGGAGUUUGAUCAGGUUUUUGCCACUCCUCCUCGGGCAGAAAGUGCCUGCUGAUGAACCUGCCUGGAAUCUCCUCACUGACUUAAAGGACAUUGUGGACCUUGUUGUCACACCGGUGCAUACUGAUGAAACAAUAGCUUAUUUGAAUUUCAAAAUCUCUGAGCAUAGAGUGCGGUUCAAGGAGGUUUUCCCAGACACCAACUUGCUUCCUAAGCAUCACUUCUUAGAACAUUAUCCACAGCUAAUUCGUCAGUUUGGCCCUUUAGUUUCUCUUUGGACUUUACGAUUCGAAGCGAAGCAUAGCUUUUUUAAGAGAGUUGUGCGGCACACUCGCUGCUUUAAAAAUGUGUUGUUGUCCUUGGCACAGAGACACCAAUUAACCAUGGCACACCAUAUUUACACCUGUGGCUUUCCUAAACCUCUCCUGGAAGUGAAAAAGUUCUCAACUGUUAGCAUUGAUGUCCUGAAAGAUGAUAUUGCACGGGCUGUGAAACACAAGAACCCAAACGUGAAGGAAGUGUCUUUGGCCGAGAACGUCACCUAUAAUGGAUUUAACUACAGACUUGGAAUGAUCCUUGCUCAUGGUUCACUUGAAGGAAUGCCUGCAUUUAUUGAAAUCAUCCAGAUGGUGGUUCUCCAAAAGGAGUUGGUCUUCAUUGUUAGGAAACUAAGUGCUUGGUACCUGGAACACUUUAGAGCCUAUCAACUUGAAAUCUCGCCUACAAAGGAGAUAGAAGUUCUGGAGCCAUCUCAACUGACUGAUCCUUACCCUUUGGCAGACUACACAGUUGGGACAAUGAGGCUUAUCACCCUGAAGCGAUAUAUUCACGUUUAA